GGUCAAGCUAUUAAGGGUGCAUGGUGGAUGCUCUGGCGUCGAGAGGCGAUGAAGGGCGUGGCACGGCUGCGAUAAGCCCCGGUUUGCUGCGAGCAAGCUCAUCCGGGGAUCCCCGAAUGCGGAAACGCUCCGAGGUAAUACCUCGGAAGUCGACACUGAAUGAAUAGGUGUCGAUGGCCCACGCAGGGAACUGAAACAUCUGAGUACCUGCAGGAGAAGAAAGAAACCUCGACUUCCCUAGUAGCGGCGAGCGAACGGGAACUAGCCUAAACCAAUGGCGUGCAAGCCGACAAGCGUUGCGUCAUUGGGGUUGUGGGAUGCGGUAUCGCCAACUUGUCGGUUGGCGCGGAAGUUACAAAAGACUGUCAUAGUGGAACGUUCUGGAAAGUUCGGCCAAAGAGGGUGAUAGCCCCGUACGCAAAAUGACAGCCUCUUCUGAAUCGCGUCCCGAGUACCGGCGGCCACGUGAAAUCCGCCGCGAAUCUGGGAGGACCACCUCCUAAGGCUAAGUACUACUCGACGUCCGGUAGCGCAUAGUAGCGUGAGCGAAAAGUGAAAAGAACCCCGGCAAGGGGAGUGAAAUAGGACCUGAAACCGUGCACCUACAAGCGGUCGGAGGGCUAUGGCAGCUUCGGCUGCAAUGCCUAACGGCGUACCUUUUGCAUAAUGAUCCGGCGAGUUGCCGUGCAGGGCAAGGCUAAGGGCGUUACGUCCGCAGCCGUAGCGAAAGCGAGUGCGAAAUGCGCAUUGAAGUCUUGCAUGGCAGACCCGAAUGCAGGUGAUCUAACCAUGGCCAGGCUGAAGCGAGCGUAACACCUCGUGGAGGGCCGAACUCGUCACCGUUGCAAAGGUGUGGGAUGAGCUGUGGUUUGGAGCAAAAGACUAACCAAACCUGCGAAUAGCUGGUUCUCCCCGAAACAAGUUUCGGCUUGACGUCAGGUUAUUCAUCGUUGGGGGUAGAGCUACUGAAUGGGUACGGGGGGACUCAAUCCUACCCGUCCCAACCAAACUCCGAAUACCAGCGAUGCGACCCUGGCAGUUAGUCCGCGGGCGAUAACGUUCACGGACAAGAGGGAAACAACCCAGAUUGCCGGCUAAGGUCCCAGAGACUGCGCUAAGUGGGAAAAGGAGGUAAGGCCUCGAAGACAGCCGGGAUGUUGGCUUAGAAGCAGCCAUCAUUUAAAAAGUGCGUAAUAGCUUACCGGUCGAGAGGCCUUGCGCCGAAAAUUAACGGGACUCAAGCGCAGCACCGAAGCCGCAGGUCGUCGAUGCCCGAUGGGCUUCGACGGCGGUAGGGGAGCGUUCCAUGCGGGCUGAAGGGUGACGACAACGACACCUGGACUGCAUGGAAGUGAGAAUGCCGGAACGAGUAGCGGUAAAUCGGGUGAGAAUCCUGAUCGCCGUAAGCCCAAGGUUUCCUGGGGCAGGUCAGUCCGCCCAGGGUUAGUCGGGUCCUAAGCUGAGGCCGACAGGCGUAGGCGAUGGAAAACAGGUUAAUAUUCCUGUACCGGCGUGGAGCGACAAAGACGUGAUGGGGGGACAGAGGGUUGAUGGUCAGCCUACGGUUAGAUGUGUAGGUUUAAGCUUGCGGGGUCGCAGUAGGAAAAUCCGCUGCGUAUGGCCUCGGGAGUGAUGACGAGCGCCUUGAGCGCGAAGUGAUCGGAGCCCCUCUCAAGAAAAGCCUCUAACGAGCUCUAAGCCGCCCGUACCGUAAACUGACACUGGUGGGCGAGGUGAAUAUCCUAAGGCGCUCGAGUGAAAUCUCGUGAAGGAACUCAGCAUAAUGGCUCCGUAACUUCGGGAGAAGGAGCGCCCUCGGUGGUCGAAGGGUUUACCCCUUAGGCUGUUGAGGGCCGCAGAGAAAUGGCCCGGGCGACUGUUUACCAAAAACACAGGUCUGUGCAAAGUCUGAUAAGACGCUGUAUACAGACUGACGCCUGCCCGAUGCCGGAAGGUCAAAGGGAUGGGUCAUGAGGUUCGCCUCAGAAGCCUUGAACCAAAGCCCCGGUGAAUGGCGGCCGUAACUAUGACGGUCCUAAGGUAGCGAAGUUCCUUGUCGGGUAAGUUCCGACGCGCAUGAAUGGCGUAACGACUUGGGCGCUGUCUCCACGAGAUGCUCGGCGAAACUGGAGUCUUGGUGAAAAUACCAAGUGCCCGCGCAAGGACGGAAAGACCCCAUGAACCUUCACUUCACCCUGGUAUUGGCAUCUGGCAUUGCAUGUGUAGCAUAGGUGGGAGACUUUGAAGGAUGGGCGCUAGUUCAUCUUGAGUCGUCAGUGAAAUACCACUCUUGCCCUGACAGAUGCCUAACCGGUCACCGUGAAUCCGGGAUCGGAACAGUGCUAGGCGGGUAGUUUGGCUGGGGCGGUCUCCUCCCAAAAGGUAACGGAGGAGUCCAAAGGCACCUUCAGCGCGGUUGGCAAUCGCGCAUAGAGCGCAUAGGUAUAAGGGUGCUUAACUGCGAGUCUGAUAGGACGAGCAGAUGUGAAAGCAGGGCUAAGUGAUCCGGCGGAUUCCAUGUGGAAGGGCCGUCGCUCAUCAGACAAAAGGUACUCUGGGGAUAACAGGCUGAUCUCCCCCAAGAGCUCAUAUCGACGGGGAGGUUUGGCACCUCGAUGUCGGCUCAUCGCAUCCUGGGGCUGGAGAAGGUCCCAAGGGUUUGGCUGUUCGCCAAUUAAAGCGGUACGCGAGCUGGGUUCAGACCGUCGUGAGACAGGUCGGUCCCUAUCCGGCGUGGGCGUAGGAUGCUUGAGGAGAGCUGCCUCUAGUACGAGAGGAUUGAGGCGGACGGACCUCUGGUGUAGGGGUUGUCGCGCUAGCGGCACCGCCCCGUAGCUAUGUCCGGAAUGGAUAACCGCUGAAAGCAUCUAAGCGGGAAGCCAACUCCAAGAUCGGGCAUCCCAAUCAGGCCUCUGGUAGACUAUCAGAUUGAUAGGCGGGAGGUGUACGUGCAGCAAUGCACUUAGCUGACCCGUACUAACUGGCCGAUUGGCUUGACCAC
Molecule: ribosomal RNA, 3001 nt
Filed under: Planctomycetota bacterium
Lineage: Bacteria; Pseudomonadati; Planctomycetota
Description: Planctomycetes bacterium (bioreactor metagenome) 23S ribosomal RNA
Rfam family: Bacterial large subunit ribosomal RNA
Source: RNAcentral